CCGCGAGGUAGAGCAAAUCUCAAAAAAACAAUCUCAGUUCAGACUGCAGGCUGCAACUCGCCUGCACGAAGUCGGAAUUGCUAGUAAUCGUAGGUCAGCAUACUACGGUGAAUACGUUCCCGGGCCUUGUACACACCGCCCGUCAAACCAUGAGAGUUGGCAACACCCGAAGUCGGUAGUCUAACCGCAAGGAGGACGCCGCCGAAGGUGGGGUUGAUGAUUAGGGUUAAGUCGUAACAAGGUACC
This 246-nucleotide ribosomal RNA is filed under the name uncultured bacterium. Its description in RNAcentral is "partial 16S ribosomal RNA". It matches the Rfam family "Bacterial small subunit ribosomal RNA", at positions 1255 to 1500 of the family's 1533-position model. The record is from RNAcentral.